RNAcentral lists this ribosomal RNA (391 nucleotides) under uncultured bacterium. Its description in RNAcentral is "partial 16S ribosomal RNA". It matches the Rfam family "Bacterial small subunit ribosomal RNA", at positions 523 to 918 of the family's 1533-position model. The record is from RNAcentral.
AUACAUAGGGUGCAAGCGUUAUCCGGCAUUAUUGGGCGUAAAGCGUGCGUAGGCGGUUUAUUAAGUCUGAUGUUAAAUCCCACAGCUCAACUGUGGGCUGCCAUUGGAAACUGGUAGACUUGAGGGCGGUAGAGGUAAGUGGAAUUCCAAGUGGAGCGGUGGAAUGCGUAGAUAUUUUGAGGAACACCAGUGUCGAAGGCGGCUUACUGGGCCGUUACUGACGAUGAGGCACGAAAGCGUGGGGAGCAAACAGGAUUAGAUACACUGGUAGUCCACGCCGUAAACGAUGAGCACUAAGUGUCGGAUGAAUUUUCGGCGCUGCAGUUAACACAAUAAGUGCUCCGCCUGGGGAGUACGGUCGCAAGACUGAAACUUAAAGGAAUUGACGGGG